UACGUAGGGUGCGAGCGUUGUCCGGAAUUAUUGGGCGUAAAGAGCUCGUAGGCGGUGUGUCACGUCGGCCGUGAAAACCUGCAGCUUAACUGUGGGCGUGCGGUCGAUACGGGCAUCACUGGAGUUCGGCAGGGGAGACUGGAAUUCCUGGUGUAGCGGUGAAAUGCGCAGAUAUCAGGAGGAACACCGGUGGCGAAGGCGGGUCUCUGGGCCGACAUUGACGCUGAGGAGCGAAAGCGUGGGGAGCGAACAGG
This 254-nucleotide ribosomal RNA is filed under the name uncultured bacterium. Its description in RNAcentral is "partial 16S ribosomal RNA". It matches the Rfam family "Bacterial small subunit ribosomal RNA", at positions 524 to 776 of the family's 1533-position model. The record is from RNAcentral.